RNAcentral lists this ribosomal RNA (477 nucleotides) under uncultured Pseudoalteromonas sp. Its description in RNAcentral is "bacterial SSU rRNA". It matches the Rfam family "Bacterial small subunit ribosomal RNA", at positions 97 to 570 of the family's 1533-position model. Lineage: Bacteria; Pseudomonadati; Pseudomonadota; Gammaproteobacteria; Alteromonadales; Pseudoalteromonadaceae. The record is from RNAcentral.
GGCGGACGGGUGAGUAAUGCUUGGGAAUAUGCCUUAUGGUGGGGGACAACAGUUGGAGACGACUGCUAAUACCGCAUGAUGUCUACGGACCAAAGUGGGGGACCUUCGGGCCUCACGCCAUAAGAUUAGCCCAAGUGGGAUUAGCUAGUUGGUGAGGUGAUGGCUCACCAAGGCAACGAUCCCUAGCUGGUUUGAGAGGAUGAUCAGCCACACUGGGACUGAGACACGGCCCAGACUCCUACGGGAGGCAGCAGUGGGGAAUAUUGCACAAUGGGCGCAAGCCUGAUGCAGCCAUGCCGCGUGUGUGAAGAAGGCCUUCGGGUUGUAAAGCACUUUCAGUAAGGAGGAAAGGUUAAGUGUUAAUAGCACUUAGCUGUGACGUUACUUACAGAAGAAGCACCGGCUAACUCCGUGCCAGCAGCCGCGGUAAUACGGAGGGUGCGAGCGUUAAUCGGAAUUACUGGGCGUAAAGCGUAC